RNAcentral lists this ribosomal RNA (459 nucleotides) under uncultured bacterium. RNAcentral describes it as "partial 16S ribosomal RNA". It matches the Rfam family "Bacterial small subunit ribosomal RNA", at positions 338 to 795 of the family's 1533-position model. The record is from RNAcentral.
CCUACGGGAGGCUGCAGUGAGGAAUAUUGGUCAAUGGGCGCGAGCCUGAACCAGCCAAGUAGCGUGAAGGAUGACUGCCCUACGGGUUGUAAACUUCUUUUAUAAAGGAAUAAAGUGAGGCACGUGUGCCUUUUUGUAUGUACUUUAUGAAUAAGGAUCGGCUAACUCCGUGCCAGCAGCCGCGGUAAUACGGAGGAUGCGAGCGUUAUCCGGAUUUAUUGGGUUAAAGGGGUGCGCAGGCGGGAGAUCAAGGCAGCGGUAAAAUGUCGGGGGUCAACCCCGGACGGCCGUUGAAACUGGUUUUCUAGAGUUGGGGAGAGGCAUGCGGAAUUCGUGGUGUAGCGGUGAAAUGCAUAGAUAUCACGAAGAACACCGGUUGCGAAGGCAGCAUGCCGGAUCCAUACUGACGGUGAGGCACGAAAGCGUGGGGAUCGAACAGGAUUAGAUACCCUAGUAGUC